UCAAGCCCACACAGACGACUUCCUUAUUUUUUGUGUUCGUUUUGUUCCAAUUUGGAUUCAUCUACUCGGAUUCGCUACCCUGCAAGAGUGUAGUACUUCAGGGAGUUGAGCCAGAUGGUUCCGUAUCCAUUUACAAAUAUCAAGGAUGGUUGAAUAUUUUCAUUUCCGACGCGUUCACAUUCAAAACGCAGGCAUAUCUCAUCGGAUGGCAAAUGUUUAACCUAUGCAACAGCGGCAGUUAUUAUUUGGACGUCUUCAGGCCCGUCCCAGGGGCGAACCUAACCCUUGACCUGGUACAUUCUACGAAAGUUGUAAAGCCCCCAAAGGGGAACGGAACCGUACUUGUGACAACGCCCUUUAUGGUCCAACCCGGCGAUUGUAUUGGUGUCCACGCCAACAGAAUAACGCCUUACGGUCUUGCGGUUAGGAAGAUGGAGGCAGGAUCCACGGACUGGCCUAUGAUUUUUAGCAGGGAUACCAGCGACUUCUUCAGUACGACUGCGAGGGUGAAUGUAAAGGGCAUGGAAGAGGCUCAGAGGAGCAUUGCGCUCAGGGCUAUUCUUAUUAAAGCGGAGCAGAUAAAUGGGGACGGGUGUGACCAGUCCUUCACCAGGCUCGAGACCCAAUCCACCAUCAUGACAAAGCUGAUGAACU
Lineus longissimus is the source of this 654-nucleotide long non-coding RNA. RefSeq lists it as uncharacterized. The transcript is spliced from 3 exons. NCBI's taxonomy places the organism in Eukaryota, Metazoa, Nemertea, Pilidiophora, Heteronemertea, Lineidae. The record is from RefSeq and is a predicted model, not a curated record.